RNAcentral lists this ribosomal RNA (253 nucleotides) under uncultured bacterium. RNAcentral's name for it is "partial 16S ribosomal RNA". It matches the Rfam family "Bacterial small subunit ribosomal RNA", at positions 524 to 776 of the family's 1533-position model. The record is from RNAcentral.
UACGGGGGGGGCAAACGUUGUUCGGAAUUACUGGGCGUAAAGGGCUCGUAGGCGGCCAACUAAGUCAGACGUGAAAUCCCUCGGCUUAACCGGGGAACUGCGUCUGAUACUGGAUGGCUUGAAUCCGGGAGAGGGAUGCGGAAUUCCAGGUGUAGCGGUGAAAUGCGUAGAUAUCUGGAGGAACACCGGUGGCGAAGGCGGCAUCCUGGACCGGUAUUGACGCUGAGGAGCGAAAGCCAGGGGAGCAAACGGG